Molecule: ribosomal RNA, 631 nt
Filed under: uncultured bacterium
Lineage: Bacteria
Description: bacterial SSU rRNA
Rfam family: Bacterial small subunit ribosomal RNA
Source: RNAcentral
CGCGGCCUAUCAGCUUGUUGGUGGGGUAAUGGCCUACCAAGGCGACGACGGGUAGCCGGCCUGAGAGGGUGACCGGCCACACUGGGACUGAGACACGGCCCAGACUCCUACGGGAGGCAGCAGUGGGGAAUAUUGCACAAUGGGCGAAAGCCUGAUGCAGCGACGCCGCGUGAGGGAUGACGGCCUUCGGGUUGUAAACCUCUUUCAGUAGGGAAGAAGCGAAAGUGACGGUACCUGCAGAAGAAGCGCCGGCUAACUACGUGCCAGCAGCCGCGGUAAUACGUAGGGCGCAAGCGUUAUCCGGAAUUAUUGGGCGUAAAGAGCUCGUAGGCGGUUUGUCGCGUCUGCUGUGAAAGACCGGGGCUCAACUCCGGUUCUGCAGUGGGUACGGGCAGACUAGAGUGAUGUAGGGGAGACUGGAAUUCCUGGUGUAGCUGUGAAAUGCGCGGAUAUCAGGAGGAACACCGAUGGCGAAGGCAGGUCUCUGGGCAUUAACUGACGCUGAGGAGCGAAAGCAUGGGGAGCGAACAGGAUUAGAUACCCUGGUAGUCCAUGCCGUAAACGUUGGGCACUAGGUGUGGGGGACAUUCCACGUUUUCCGCGCCGUAGCUAACGCAUUAAGUGCCCCGCC